Molecule: long non-coding RNA, 568 nt
Filed under: Homo sapiens (human)
Lineage: Eukaryota; Metazoa; Chordata; Mammalia; Primates; Hominidae
Description: long non-coding RNA NONHSAT188759.1
Source: RNAcentral
CCGCUGCAAGGCCACCAUCUACCUGUGGAAAUGGGACGACAAGGUGGUCAUCUCUGACAUCGACGGCACCAUCACCAAGUCAGAUGCUCUGGGCCAUAUCCUGCCCCAGCUGGGGAAAGACUGGACACACCAGGGCAUCACCAGUCUCUAUCACAAAAUCCAACUAAAUGGGUACAAGUUCCUGUACUGCUCGGCGCGGGCCAUUGGCAUGGCGGACCUCACCAAGGGGUACCUGCAGUGGAGAGGUGAUCGAGAAGAAACCAGAGGUGUUCAAGGUCGCCUGCCUGAGUGACAUCCAGCAGCUGUUUCUGCCCCACGGACAGCCCUUCUAUGCUGCCUUUGGGAAUAGGCCCAAUGAUGUCUUUGCCUACCGGCAGGUGGGCCUGCCUGAGUCACGCAUCUUCACAGUCAACCCCCGGGGAGAGCUCAUCCAGGAGCUCAUAAAGAACCACAAAUCCACGUAUGAGCGGCUUGGUGAAGUGGUCGAGCUCCUCUUCCCACCUGUGGCCCGUGGCCCCAGCACAGACCUGGCCAACCCUGAAUACAGUAACUUCUGCUACUGGCGGGA